This is a long non-coding RNA of Diospyros lotus (date-plum), 669 nucleotides long. RefSeq lists it as uncharacterized. The transcript is spliced from 3 exons. The record is from RefSeq and is a predicted model, not a curated record. NCBI's taxonomy places the organism in Eukaryota, Viridiplantae, Streptophyta, Magnoliopsida, Ericales, Ebenaceae.
CCAUUCAAAUGAUUAUAAAAAUAUAAGUUUUGCCAUAAAAUUUUGAUAUAAUUUCCCCUUAGAUAGGGUUCAUUUUAUAAUUGAGUGAGAAUGAAUGAAGCAAUUCAAAUCUAAAUUUUAUAUAAAGGAUGCAGCUGGCUGCCUCACAAGUCGCAUGGUUCAGUUUGUGCUAGUUUGAAAGGAAGAGCUUGAAUCUGAAAGCAGAAUGGGAAGAAGAAAAUUUUGGACGCGGGAAUGGACCGGACCAGAUUCUCAUGGUUUGUUGACUCUGGAGCAACAAAUCACAUUACAUCCAACCUCAACAAUCUUUCCCUUCAUGCUUCCUAUAAUGGUGGAGACAAAGUGGCCAUAGGAAAUGGUAAUACUCUAAUGGACAAGGAUUCCAGGCAUGCACUACUUCGGGGACACCUUAAAGAUGGGCUAUAUUGAUUGCUUCCAGCAUUUGGUCAUGCUGCGUAUAGCACUCCAGCCCACUCCAACAAGUCUUUGCUGUCUAGUAAUACUGUUUUUCCUUUGAAUAAAUGUAAUAGACAAAGCUCAUUCAAUCAUGAAUUGUCUCACGGUGCAAAUGUAGCCCAAUGUAAUAAUGUUUGUCAAUAAUGGCAUGCCAAAUUAGGGCAUCCAUCUUCUAGUGUAUUGAGAUCAGUAUUGAAUAAAAUUCAUAUUCCU